AUUGAACGCUGGCGGCAGGCCUAACACAUGCAAGUCGAGCGGAUGAAGGGAGCUUGCUCCUGGAUUCAGCGGCGGACGGGUGAGUAAUGCCUAGGAAUCUGCCUGGUAGUGGGGGAUAACGUCCGGAAACGGGCGCUAAUACCGCAUACGUCCUGAGGGAGAAAGUGGGGGAUCUUCGGACCUCACGCUAUCAGAUGAGCCUAGGUCGGAUUAGCUAGUUGGUGGGGUAAAGGCCUACCAAGGCGACGAUCCGUAACUGGUCUGAGAGGAUGAUCAGUCACACUGGAACUGAGACACGGUCCAGACUCCUACGGGAGGCAGCAGUGGGGAAUAUUGGACCAUGGGCGAAAGCCUGAUCCAGCCAUGCCGCGUGUGUGCAGAAGGUCUUCGGAUUGUAAAGCACUUUAAGUUGGGAGGAAGGGCAGUAAGUUAAUACCUUGCUGUUUUGACGUUACCAACAGAAUAAGCACCGGCUAACUUCGUG
This 484-nucleotide ribosomal RNA is filed under the name uncultured bacterium. RNAcentral describes it as "partial 16S ribosomal RNA". It matches the Rfam family "Bacterial small subunit ribosomal RNA", at positions 30 to 507 of the family's 1533-position model. The record is from RNAcentral.